RNAcentral lists this ribosomal RNA (913 nucleotides) under uncultured bacterium. Its description in RNAcentral is "bacterial SSU rRNA". It matches the Rfam family "Bacterial small subunit ribosomal RNA", at positions 74 to 993 of the family's 1533-position model. The record is from RNAcentral.
UAGUAGCAAUACUAGAGACCGGCGCACGGGUGCGUAACGCGUAUGCAAUCUGCCUUUCACAGAGGGAUAGCCCAGAGAAAUUUGGAUUAAUACCUCAUAGUAUAUUUAUGUGGCAUCACAUGAUUAUUAAAGAUUUAUCGGUGAAAGAUGAGCAUGCGUCCCAUUAGCUAGUUGGUAAGGUAACGGCUUACCAAGGCAACGAUGGGUAGGGGUCCUGAGAGGGAGAUCCCCCACACUGGUACUGAGACACGGACCAGACUCCUACGGGAGGCAGCAGUGAGGAAUAUUGGACAAUGGGCGCAAGCCUGAUCCAGCCAUGCCGCGUGCAGGAUGACGGUCCUAUGGAUUGUAAACUGCUUUUAUACGGGAAGAAACCACCCUACGUGUAGGGUACUGACGGUACCGUAAGAAUAAGGAUCGGCUAACUCCGUGCCAGCAGCCGCGGUAAUACGGAGGAUCCAAGCGUUAUCCGGAAUCAUUGGGUUUAAAGGGUCCGUAGGCGGCCUUAUAAGUCAGUGGUGAAAUCUCCCGGCUCAACCGGGAAAUGGCCAUUGAUACUGUAGGGCUUGAAUUAUUAGGAAGUAACUAGAAUAUGUAGUGUAGCGGUGAAAUGCUUAGAUAUUACAUGGAAUACCGAUUGCGAAGGCAGGUUACUACUAAUUGAUUGACGCUGAUGGACGAAAGCGUGGGUAGCGAACAGGAUUAGAUACCCUGGUAGUCCACGCCGUAAACGAUGGAUACUAGCUGUUGGGAGCAAUCUCAGUGGCUAAGCGAAAGUGAUAAGUAUCCCACCUGGGGAGUACGAACGCAAGUUUGGAACUCAAAGGAAUUGACGGGGGCCCGCACAAGCGGUGGAGCAUGUGGUUUAAUUCGAUGAUACGCGAGGAACCUUACCAAGGCUUAAAUGUAGAUU